Long non-coding RNA from Ruditapes philippinarum (Manila clam), 637 nucleotides. RefSeq lists it as uncharacterized. The record is from RefSeq and is a predicted model, not a curated record. The transcript has 3 exons. Lineage: Eukaryota; Metazoa; Mollusca; Bivalvia; Venerida; Veneridae.
GAGAAUCUGGACAAAAAAAUAUUGUAUCAUUGUGCGCGCUUGUGGAAGAGAAGCAUCAUGGUUUUGAAAUUACUGUGUAUGUUGUAUAGUGUUGGAUAUUGCGUUCUUGGACAAUACUCGUAUGAUUAUAACAAUGACACAUAUGAUACUACGUCGUAUACGUAUGAUGACGUCAACAGCACAUACCAGUAUUAUGAUGAUGAUUACGAACUUCUCGGAUGCUACACAUGUAGCAAUUGCAGCGAUCCUUUUGACCCUACAACAGCUGAAAAAGUGAUAUGCGAAAUAUUCAUGUGUAACGCAUCAUGUACAUCGUAGAAAUAUCACUGAAGGCAAGAUCGUUUAUCGAGGAUGUGGUUAUACUAAGGAAGAUAGGUGCGGGGAGGAUUCAAAUGGUGACUCGUGGUGUCUGUGUACCAGUCAGUACUGUAAUAUGUGGACCAGUCAGAACUCUAAUAGAGCCGAAAAUGUAAAGAUGCAAGCUCUGAUGUGUUUUACUGUCUCAGCGUUUCUAGCAGCUGCAAAGAAAUUCUUGAUUUGAAAACAUGACUUGAAGUGUAAUGAAAUUAAGAUAGACAUUUGUUUACUAUUCAUAUCCUGUAACACAAGGAUGUGAAAUGAAACAGGAAUUGUGCAU